ACAGCCCUGGCCUGAGGCCCAGACUGGGACACAGCUGGACUGUGGCACACUCCUGUCCCCCCUCAGCCACUCUGCCUGAGGUCACUGCAGCUCUCUGGGGUGACAUUGCCCUAGGGAUGAGGAAAGCUUCCAGCCCCAGCCUCCACCGCACUGCAGCCUUACAGGGGCUGGAGGUGCCCCACAGCGGUGGGUGAGGAGAACUCCGUGCCACCCACCCUCCCUUUUCCUAUGUGAAAAUCUCAAAAUAAAAUCUUCUGAUUGAUGAACCCA
RNAcentral lists this long non-coding RNA (270 nucleotides) under Numida meleagris (helmeted guineafowl). RNAcentral describes it as "lncRNA (ENSNMEG00000019600.1)". The record is from RNAcentral. Lineage: Eukaryota; Metazoa; Chordata; Aves; Galliformes; Numididae.